UUUAUCUGCUCCACAUUUUCC
Molecule: non-coding RNA, 21 nt
Filed under: Caenorhabditis elegans
Lineage: Eukaryota; Metazoa; Nematoda; Chromadorea; Rhabditida; Rhabditidae
Source: RNAcentral